Molecule: long non-coding RNA, 834 nt
Organism: Anopheles merus
Lineage: Eukaryota; Metazoa; Arthropoda; Insecta; Diptera; Culicidae
Exons: 3
Source: RefSeq, a predicted model, not a curated record
GUGAACAAAUCAGGCCCGCGGUGUAAUCUGCUACACAAAUCGAGGAAGCCUCCACACCGUCAUACGUCGAGUUGCCAUUGCUUUUCUUCCUUCUUGGACGCUACGCGGCGUCGUCGAUUAGUUUUGCAUAACCUUCUUCUCCAUUAUUGAAGCUGGACAACGACCUUAGCGUGCGGAUAAGUCGAACAGCUCGCGCCAUUGGAUCGAUACAGCAUACCACCCUCCGGAAGACGUUUGGAAUCCGGCUCUCCAGCAAGCAGCGGAUACUCAUCAGCAGUGCGAAAAGAAAGCAAUGAAGCCAACGGCCCUUGUCCCUGUCCGACCGGGGAAGCGAUGCCGGUGUCAUAAUAUGAUCACGCGCAUGGCCCUUGCGGACUGCCAGCCAGUAGAGCACCACCGCAAAAAGCGCAACAGUGUGUAUUCGAUCUGGGACGGACGGCGUAUUUCGCUUCAUCUCCGAUUCUGAGAUAUUGGAAGCCCUUUUGCUAUAUGUGUGUGUGAGAGAGAGAAAAAGAGAGAACGAGUGCACAAUACAGAACACUCUGCACAGUAGCGGUCGAGACGAGCAGGCACCGAAACCUGCCCCGUGUAUCGAUCGAAGCAACCAGCCGGCUCGAUAAAUCUCUAUUUUCUCUCAUUCCACCAUCUGAACAGCACAAAACAGAACCCUGGAAGAGUGUGGUGGCAUGAACCACAAAAACUUCAGAUGACCGGUACGAAAAAUCGGUCCCCACUCCAGUACCACGAACAGGGUAAUUCUUUUAUGUCCUUUUCUCUUUUAUGCGUCUUUACACGUCGACUGGGGGACGUCGAAUGAAAAUUGCAAAAACCCGA